Molecule: ribosomal RNA, 465 nt
Filed under: Triticum aestivum (bread wheat)
Lineage: Eukaryota; Viridiplantae; Streptophyta; Magnoliopsida; Poales; Poaceae
Description: partial small subunit ribosomal RNA
Source: RNAcentral
AUGCUUCAGAUCGUAGACCUCCGAUUUACAGGAUGUUCCCGUGACUGGCCAUCAGAAAUAGGAUUCACACAGGAGGGUUUUCUGGCACUCAUUCAGUCCUGCCCAAUUCGUGUUCUCGUGCUAAACACCGCCAACUUCUUUGAUGACAAGGGGAUGAAGGCCCUCUCAUCCUCAUCACAUCUGGAGACACUCGAGCUUAUAUUGUGUCAUUGGGUAACUGAUGCUGGGAUGCGAUUCAUUGCACACACCCCAUGCUUGAGUAAUCUCACACUUCGGGCAUGUCAUAAAGUUACUGAUGUUGGAGUGGCUGAACUGGGACGUGCACAUAAGUUAGAGUCUUUGGUCAUUGACCAUUGUGGUAGGGUCUCUCUGCAAGCUGCACAGGGUGUUACCAAGUCAGUUCACUACUCCAGUAAGUGUUCAGAUGCCCUUAUGAAGAAAAUUGGUUUGAUUGACGAGUAUUGA